RNAcentral lists this ribosomal RNA (285 nucleotides) under uncultured bacterium. RNAcentral describes it as "partial small subunit ribosomal RNA". It matches the Rfam family "Bacterial small subunit ribosomal RNA", at positions 195 to 480 of the family's 1533-position model. The record is from RNAcentral.
AUGUUGUUAAAAGCUUCGGGCGGACCAAAAGAUAAACCUGUAUCCCAUUAGAUAGUUGGCGAGGUUACGGCUCACCAAGUCUACGAUGGGUAGCUGAUCUGAGAGGAUGAUCAGCCACACUGGAACUGAGACACGGUCCAGACUCCUACGGGAGGCAGCAGUGAGGAAUAUUGCGCAAUGGAGGAAACUCUGACGCAGCGACGCCGCGUGAAGGAUGAAGGCCCUCUGGGUUGUAAACUUCUGUAGAGUGGGAAGAAUUUCUCGCGCCGCGAGAUUACGGUACCA